RNAcentral lists this ribosomal RNA (458 nucleotides) under uncultured bacterium. RNAcentral describes it as "partial 16S ribosomal RNA". It matches the Rfam family "Bacterial small subunit ribosomal RNA", at positions 338 to 795 of the family's 1533-position model. The record is from RNAcentral.
CCUACGGGUGGCAGCAGUGAGGAAUAUUGGUCAAUGGGCGGAAGCCUGAACCAGCCAAGUCGCGUGAGGGAUGAAGGUUCUAUGGAACGUAAACCUCUUUUAUAAGGGAAUAAAGUGCGGGACGUGUCCCGUUUUGUAUGUACCUUAUGAAUAAGGAUCGGCUACUCCGUGCCAGCAGCCGCGGUAAUACGGAGGAUGCGAGCGUUAUCCGGAUUUAUUGGGUUUAAAGGGUGCGUAGGCGGACUGUUAAGUCAGCGGUAAAAGCCCGGGGCUCAACCCCGGCGAGCCGUUGAAACUGGCUGUCUUGAGAUGUCGAGAGGUAUGCGGAAUGCGCAGUGUAGCGGUGAAAUGCUUAGAUAUUGCGCAGAACUCCGAUUGCGAAGGCAGCAUACCGGCGGCGAUCUGACGCUGAGGCACGAAAGCGUGGGUAUCGAACAGGAUUAGAUACCCUUGUAGUC